AUUGAACGCUGGCGGCAGGCCUAACACAUGCAAGUCGAACGGUAGCACAGAGAGCUUGCUCUCGGGUGACGAGUGGCGGACGGGUGAGUAAUGUCUGGGAAACUGCCCGAUGGAGGGGGAUAACUACUGGAAACGGUAGCUAAUACCGCAUAAUGUCGCAAGACCAAAGAGGGGGACCUUCGGGCCUCUUGCCAUCGGAUGUGCCCAGAUGGGAUUAGCUUGUAGGUGAGGUAACGGCUCACCUAGGCGACGAUCCCUAGCUGGUCUGAGAGGAUGACCAGCCACACUGGAACUGAGACACGGUCCAGACUCCUACGGGAGGCAGCAGUGGGGAAUAUUGCACAAUGGGCGCAAGCCUGAUGCAGCCAUGCCGCGUGUAUGAAGAAGGCCUUCGGGUUGUAAAGUACUUUCAGCGGGGAGGAAGGGAGUGAGGUUAAUAACCUUAUUCAUUGACGUUACCCGCAGAAGAAGCACCGGCUAACUCCGUGCCAGCAGCCGCGGUAGUACGGAGGGUGCAAGCGUUAAUCGGAAUUACUGGGCGUAAAGCGCACGCAGGCGGUCUGUCAAGUCGGAUGUGAAAUCCCCGGGCUCAACCUGGGAACUGCAUUCGAAACUGGCAGGCUGGAGUCUUGUAGAGGGGGGUAGAAUUCCAGGUGUAGCGGUGAAAUGCGUAGAGAUCUGGAGGAAUACCGGUGGCGAAGGCGGCCCCCUGGACAAAGACUGACGCUCAGGUGCGAAAGCGUGGGGAGCAAACAGGAUUAGAUACCCUGGUAGUCCACGCUGUAAACGAUGUCGACUUGGAGGUUGUUCCCUUGAGGAGUGGCUUCCGGAGCUAACGCGUUAAGUCGACCGCCUGGGGAGUACGGCCGCAAGGUUAAAACUCAAAUGAAUUGACGGGGGCCCGCACAAGCGGUGGAGCAUGUGGUUUAAUUCGAUGCAACGCGAAGAACCUUACCUACUCUUGACAUCCAGAGAACUUAGCAGAGAUGCUUUGGUGCCUUCGGGAACUCUGAGACAGGUGCUGCAUGGCUGUCGUCAGCUCGUGUUGUGAAAUGUUGGGUUAAGUCCCGCAACGAGCGCAACCCUUAUCCUUUGUUGCCAGCGGUCCGGCCGGGAACUCAAAGGAGACUGCCAGUGAUAAACUGGAGGAAGGUGGGGAUGACGUCAAGUCAUCAUGGCCCUUACGAGUAGGGCUACACACGUGCUACAAUGGCAUAUACAAAGAGAAGCGACCUCGCGAGAGCAAGCGGACCUCAUAAAGUAUGUCGUAGUCCGGAUUGGAGUCUGCAACUCGACUCCAUGAAGUCGGAAUCGCUAGUAAUCGUGGAUCAGAAUGCCACGGUGAAUACGUUCCCGGGCCU
This 1361-nucleotide ribosomal RNA is filed under the name uncultured bacterium. RNAcentral describes it as "bacterial SSU rRNA". It matches the Rfam family "Bacterial small subunit ribosomal RNA", at positions 28 to 1381 of the family's 1533-position model. The record is from RNAcentral.